Molecule: ribosomal RNA, 169 nt
Filed under: uncultured Bacteroidota bacterium
Lineage: Bacteria; Pseudomonadati; Bacteroidota
Description: uncultured Bacteroidetes bacterium partial 16S ribosomal RNA
Rfam family: Bacterial small subunit ribosomal RNA
Source: RNAcentral
AAUGGGGAUGGAGGCACUCUGACCCAGCCAUGCCGCGUGCAGGAAGACGGUCCUCUGGAUUGUAAACUGCUUUUGAAUGGGAAGAACACUAGACUUGCGAGUUUAAUUGACGGUACCAUUAGAAUAAGCCACGGCUAACUACGUGCCAGCAGCCGCGGUAAUACAGGGA